GCCAACCCGGGGACCCGGGUUUAUCAUGUGGGGUUGAACCACCGGAUCAUCCAUCGUUAGGGGUCAUCGUCGUUGCGCUCGGCAAACACGGCCCCGGUGCAUCAUUAUCAGCAGCAGCAGCAGCAGCAGCAGCAUGUCCGUUUCUUUCCACGGUCAUUCUUUCCUCCACCGCUUUUUAUUAUAUUUGGCACAGGCAGAGUGCGUCGGGGAACAAAAGGAAAAGCCAUCCACUGAAGAAGAGACGAUUUUUGGGCCGUUGAAGCUGAAGCUGAAUCGAGCUGUACUUGAUGGCACUGUACUAAUGGAACCUGUGCAGGUCGUGAGCCCUAAGAGCAAUCGGCCAUUGAGACAGCAUUCUUGUUGCUGCAGUUCACCCGUUGGUUGGAUUGGAAGAUUCAAUUUGGCAGCUCCUCCUGCACGUAAUGUAACGCGUUUAGGUCGACGCCACUGUUCUCGAAGAUCUUAGCGUGUCCCGUGGGAGCUGGCCUUUGAACACAGAAAAUGUUUCCGAGGCGGCUGCGAUGGCGGCGGCGGCGAGCAGACUGCUAAUUGUUGGGGUUUGUUAAAAGCUUUUGAAUUGUGAGUGAGUGAGAGAGUGAGUGGAAAAUUUAAAAUAAUCACGUUUAAACAGUCGAGGCUGAUGAAGGAAGGCCCAUAAAACUAAAAAAAACGCUCAAAACGCCAGGAUAAAUGCAUGCAUCAGAUGGCCAUGCCGUUUCCAGUGACGUUUAUUUGUGUAGCUGAAUUUAAAAUUCAAAUCGCAAUGCAUAAAUUCAGGCGCACAAAAAAGCGGAUCGAUAAACUAAAAGGCAAGGGAAAAUAUCGAUCGAUCGAUCGGUUUGCAGGCUGGUUUUUUUUUAUUCCAGUAACAUUUCCAUUGGUGCAAAUGUGCAAACCCAAAAUUCGAAUGUUGAAACGAUUUGUCGUCGUAUCGGACAUCGGAGCUCACCUGAUGCUAAUGGGGCCACAGGCCGUACAAGCCUGUCCUAAAAGGGGUUGAGACGCAUCUAACCAGGGACAUUAACUAAGGCGUAGGAAAUGGAAAUGCAUGUCCAAAGCUUUGGAACAUAAAACACACAAAAACAGCAAAACUAGGCAAUCGUUUUGAGACACCAAACUGAAUACGCUUAUCAUGUUUUAAAAACGAAUGUUUGAAGCUCGUUUUUUUGUCUCUCCAUACAACAUACAUACGCGGCGAAUGAUCUCAUCUCAUUGGUAUGUAAUUAAAUUUUUGGGGCUCGAGCUCGACCAUCGGCUUUAAUUAUACGGUGCACCGGUCGUGCAGGAAGCGUGAUUUAUUGCUGUCAUCCACCGGCCACCGGUCAGUGGCCAAUUUAUGCUUGCGCAAAACUGAGACCAACACGUAAUCACGUCCGUUAGGGAAUGAAAAAUUAGAAAAUCUGCCCAACCAAGAAUUGACUGGCCUGGACUGGUUGGUGGUGGUUGGUGGUGGAUUCGUUGAACCUUUUUUUCUAUAUUUAAAGCUGAGAGGAGUGGCUAGGGCGGUUUGGGUGGUAGGAAGCAGUUGUAAUAAAAUUAUAAUUCCUACCAAAACGCGAACGCAUUUUUGGUGCGCUCGCGCGUACGAUCGCGCGAUCACUGUUCUGCGUGCAAUGCGCGGCAGAGCAAAAUGCGCGCAAAAAGAGGCGAAAAAGCAGUUGGUGGGUAGGCGAAGCCAAGGGGAGUGGAUGAGUAAGAAGGAAGGAGGAAGUAUCAUAUUCACACGCACGCGGCAGCGAGGGAGGACCAGGAGGCCACGUGGGCUAUGAUGAAACAUAAAAAUUUCACCGGCCUUAUUGUUAUUGCUCAUUAGGAAUUAAUUUAUGUGUCGCUUCUGGAUUUUUGGUCGAUCGUGUGAUCAACAUGAGCCGGAGAGAAGAUAGCAAGAGAAGAAAGAGCGGAAAGGGGGAAAGGGAAGAGAAAAUGAAGAGCAGUUCAAGAUAUUUGGCCACGGUAGAAUGAGCUGCACUGUUUGAGAGGUUUCUAAUCGUCUGAUAAUGUAAAUAGGCGCCAAAGGUAAAUGGUCGUGUUGAUCGAAUGUCCGCCUGACAGGCCUUUGCUGGAUCGCUUCGCAAAGUCUCGGAUCGCUCGGAACAGUAGGCUGACAGUAAGCGCCAAAGGGUGCUAAUACACGCGUCACGUUUGGUUAACAAAACAGCACUUUGUUGCGGGAUAACAGAAGCAGCCGUCGGAAGUAGAAAGAAGAAACCAUUCCUCGCAUACGCGUGUGAUGUUUUCAUUUUGCUCCUAUUAAUUAUUUAAUAAAUCGUCAAUUAAACCGCGAAA
This is a long non-coding RNA of Anopheles arabiensis, 2286 nucleotides long. RefSeq lists it as uncharacterized. The transcript has 3 exons. NCBI's taxonomy places the organism in Eukaryota, Metazoa, Arthropoda, Insecta, Diptera, Culicidae. The record is from RefSeq and is a predicted model, not a curated record.